RNAcentral lists this transfer RNA (51 nucleotides) under Bisetocreagris titanium. RNAcentral describes it as "tRNA-Pro". The record is from RNAcentral. Lineage: Eukaryota; Metazoa; Arthropoda; Arachnida; Pseudoscorpiones; Neobisiidae.
CAGAAUAAUAUUUUUAAAUAUUAACUUUGGGGGUUAAAAAAUAAAUUCUGA